Molecule: ribosomal RNA, 601 nt
Filed under: uncultured bacterium
Lineage: Bacteria
Description: bacterial SSU rRNA
Rfam family: Bacterial small subunit ribosomal RNA
Source: RNAcentral
GCUGACGAGGCCUUUACUGACGCUAAAGCUCGAAGGUGCGGGUAUCGAACAGGAUUAGAUACCCUGGUAGUCCGCACGGUAAACGAUGGAUGCCCGCUGUUUGCGAUACACUGUGAGCGGCCAAGCGAAAGCGUUAAGCAUCCCACCUGGGGAGUACGCCGGCAACGGUGAAACUCAAAGGAAUUGACGGGGGCCCGCACAAGCGGAGGAACAUGUGGUUUAAUUCGAUGAUACGCGAGGAACCUUACCCGGGCUUGAACUGCCGGCGUACGAUACAGAGAUGUUGAGGCCCUUCGGGGCGCCGGUGGAGGUGCUGCAUGGUUGUCGUCAGCUCGUGCCGUGAGGUGUCGGCUUAAGUGCCAUAACGAGCGCAACCCCUCUCCGUAGUUGCCAUCGGGUGAUGUCGGGCACUCUGCGGACACUGCCACCGUAAGGUGUGAGGAAGGUGGGGAUGACGUCAAAUCAGCACGGCCCUUACGUCCGGGGCUACACACGUGUUACAAUGGGUGGUACAGAGGGCAGGCGGCCGGCGACGUUCGUCGAAUCCUAAAAGCCAUCCUCAGUUCGGACUGGGGUCUGCAACCCGACCCCACGAAGCUGG